CGGUAACAGGGAGCUUGCUCCGCUGACGAGUGGCGAACGGGUGAGUAAUAUAUCGGAACGUACCCAAGAGUGGGGGAUAACGUAGCGAAAGUUACGCUAAUACCGCAUACGAUCUAAGGAUGAAAGCAGGGGAUCUUCGGACCUUGUGCUCCUGGAGCGGCCGAUAUCUGAUUAGCUAGUUGGUGAGGUAAAGGCUCACCAAGGCGACGAUCAGUAGCUGGUCUGAGAGGACGACCAGCCACACUGGAACUGAGACACGGUCCAGACUCCUACGGGAGGCAGCAGUGGGGAAUUUUGGACAAUGGGCGCAAGCCUGAUCCAGCAAUGCCGCGUGAGUGAAGGAGGCCUUCGGGUUGUAAAGCUCUUUUGUCAGGGAAGAAACGGUGGAGGCUAAUAUCCUUCGCUAAUGACGGUACCUGAAGAAUAAGCACCGGCUAACUACGUGCCAGCAGCCGCGGUAAUACGUAGGGUGCAAGCGUUAAUCGGAAUUACUGGGCGUAAAGCGUGCGCAGGCGGUUUUGUAAGUCUGUCGUGAAAUCCCCGGGCUCAACCUGGGAAUUGCGAUGGAGACUGCAAGGCUAGAAUCUGGCAGAGGGGGGUAGAAUUCCACGUGUAGCAGUGAAAUGCGUAGAGAUGUGGAGGAACGCCGAUGGCGAAGGCAGCCCCCUGGGUCAAGAUUGACGCUCAUGCACGAAAGCGUGGGGAGCAAACAGGAUUAGAUACCCUGGUAGUCCACGCCCUAAACGAUGUCUACUAGUUGUCGGGUUUUAAUUAACUUGGUAACGCAGCUAACGCGUGAAGUAGACCGCCUGGGGAGUACGGUCGCAAG
Molecule: ribosomal RNA, 829 nt
Filed under: uncultured bacterium
Lineage: Bacteria
Description: bacterial SSU rRNA
Rfam family: Bacterial small subunit ribosomal RNA
Source: RNAcentral